Molecule: ribosomal RNA, 1402 nt
Filed under: uncultured bacterium
Lineage: Bacteria
Description: 16S ribosomal RNA
Rfam family: Bacterial small subunit ribosomal RNA
Source: RNAcentral
AGAGUUUGAUCCUGGCUCAGGAUGAACGCUAGCGGCAGGCUUAACACAUGCAAGUCGAGGGGCAGCGGGGAGGAAGCUUGCUUUCUCCGCCGGCGACCGGCGCACGGGUGAGUAACACGUAUGCAACCUGCCCCUGUCAGGGGGACAACCCGCCGAAAGGCGGGCUAAACCCGCGUACAUGCCACCGGGGCAUCCCGGAGGCAGGAAAGGCUUCGGCCGGACAGGGAUGGGCAUGCGGCGCAUUAGGCAGUAGGCGGGGUAACGGCCCACCUAACCGACGAUGCGUAGGGGUUCUGAGAGGAAGGUCCCCCACACUGGUACUGAGACACGGACCAGACUCCUACGGGAGGCAGCAGUGAGGAAUAUUGAUCAAUGGUCGGGAGACUGAACCAGCCAAGCCGCGUGAGGGAAGAAGGUACAGAGUAUCGUAAACCUCUUUUGUCAGGGAACAAAGGCGGGGACGUGUCCCCGGAUGAGUGUACCUGAAGAAAAAGCAUCGGCUAACUCCGUGCCAGCAGCCGCGGUAAUACGGAGGAUGCGAGCGUUAUCCGGAUUUAUUGGGUUUAAAGGGUGCGCAGGCGGUCUGUUAAGUCAGCGGUCAAAGCCCGGGGCUCAACCCCGGCCCGCCGUUGAAACUGGCAGUCUCGAGUUGGAGAGAAGUAUGCGGAAUGCGCGGUGUAGCGGUGAAAUGCAUAGAUAUCGCGCAGAACUCCGAUUGCGAAGGCAGCAUGCCGGCUCCACACUGACGCUGAGGCACGAAAGCGUGGGUAUCGAACAGGAUUAGAUACCCUGGUAGUCCACGCAGUAAACGAUGAAUGCUGGCUGUCCGGGGGGAUUGACCCCUGGGUGGCGAAGCGAAAGCGAUAAGCAUUCCACCUGGGGAGUACGCCGGCAACGGUGAAACUCAAAGGAAUUGACGGGGGCCCGCACAAGCGGAGGAACAUGUGGUUUAAUUCGAUGAUACGCGAGGAACCUUACCCGGGCUCAAACGGGGAGUGACUCAGGCAGAGACGCCUGUUUCCCACGGGACACUCCCCGAGGUGCUGCAUGGUUGUCGUCAGCUCGUGCCGUGAGGUGUCGGCUUAAGUGCCAUAACGAGCGCAACCCCCGCGUGCAGUUGCUAACAGAUAACGCUGAGGACUCUGCACGGACUGCCGGCGCAAGCCGCGAGGAAGGCGGGGAUGACGUCAAAUCAGCACGGCCCUUACGUCCGGGGCGACACACGUGUUACAAUGGGUGGUACAGCGGGAAGCCAGGCGGCGACGCCGAGCGGAACCCGAAAUCCACUCUCAGUUCGGAUCGGAGUCUGCAACCCGACUCCGUGAAGCUGGAUUCGCUAGUAAUCGCGCAUCAGCCAUGGCGCGGUGAAUACGUUCCCGGGCCUUGUACUCACCGCCCGUCA